AAUUAACCAAGAAAUAUCCCACAAAAGCAUCCUCGAAGCAUUCGGAGCAGCAAGUUGUAUUCGGAAAACACUAAAUUGAUCCGCAACAAUCGAUCAACGACCCCAAAGAAAAAUGCGUUGCUAAUUCUCACGAUCGAAGCAAAUUAUUAACCAUCGAACCGGUUAACAAGAUGAAGAGGAACCCGAGCAACACACGACACUCUCGUGCAAGAUAUAACUUGUAAGAACACGUCACUCAUCUAGAAGAGGCGACGACGGCGGUUCGUUACUCUGGCUUUCUGGGAAACUUCUUGGAGGUCAUGACUAAUCCAUUCUGCGGCGGAGGAAACGGCGUUGAUGUCUCUGCGAACGACGAUUAUGAAGACGUACGAUUUAAGAGAAUAUACAGUCGCCUUGGGAAAUAAGUUAACGCUCCCGCUAAAAGUUUAACUGUAAGACCGUUAACUUAUUUUCCGAGGCAAUUGCAUAUACUUCGUAUAUCGUAAAUUGCUGUACAAUUCCAGCGAAGAAGGUUCUAUAGGUGAAGAUAAGUAGAAAUUGGAGAGUAACGAAAUCUUGUUGGAGAUCUUAUUUUUGAGAAAAAUAUAAGGUAUCUUAUUUUAAUCUAUUCGUGCAAUUAUAUUAUCUUCCAAGUUCCAAACUACUUAUUAUUCGAAAAAAUAUUUUACGUGAAACUUACUUUGUUCCGU
RNAcentral lists this unclassified non-coding RNA (689 nucleotides) under Bombus terrestris (buff-tailed bumblebee). Its description in RNAcentral is "misc RNA ENSBTSG00005022377.1". Lineage: Eukaryota; Metazoa; Arthropoda; Insecta; Hymenoptera; Apidae. The record is from RNAcentral.